GGAGGGUCCGAGCGUUAUCCGGAAUCAUUGGGUUUAAAGGGUCCGCAGGCGGUCGAUUAAGUCAGAGGUGAAAUCCCAUAGCUCAACUAUGGAACUGCCUUUGAUACUGGUUGACUUGAGUCAUAUGGAAGUAGAUAGAAUGUGUAGUGUAGCGGUGAAAUGCAUAGAUAUUACACAGAAUACCGAUUGCGAAGGCAGUCUACUAGCUUAGUACUGACGCUGAGGGACGAAAGCGUGGGAGCGAACAGGAUUAGAUACCCUGGUAGUCCACGCCGUAAACGAUGGAUACUAGUUGUUGGGAUUUA
RNAcentral lists this ribosomal RNA (305 nucleotides) under uncultured marine bacterium. RNAcentral's name for it is "bacterial SSU rRNA". It matches the Rfam family "Bacterial small subunit ribosomal RNA", at positions 527 to 832 of the family's 1533-position model. The record is from RNAcentral.